AUGAUGACAAAUUCUGGUCUUCAGCUGCCUUCCCUGCAGAACUCCCAAUAUUUUAUCCUGAAGUGCUGCUUUUGCAGAAACUUUCUGGCCUGGUUUGUAUUUUCCUGUCAGGAUUCUUGCAUCUUCAAGGCAGAAAAUCACAUUGGAGACUCGCAGCACACAUGAGGAAACUCAGCUGAGAAUCUGGAUUGCGUUAGAUGAACGAGGAAACGACAUGAGACUUGUUUUUGUUGUGAUAAGAGGAAGAACAGAUCCGAUCAUAACAAAAACAGAUGUAAAGCCGUAACGCAGUCCCUCGUGUUAUCUCAUCCCCACUCUCCCACUGACCAGCAGAGGAUGCAAGGAAAUGUUCUGCCUUCUGCCAGCACAGCCCCUGCCAGCAAAUCAGUGCGUAAGACACUGCCUGAAAUACAUUCUGCUGCAGAAAAGUGUGAUAAAAAACCCCCCUGCCAAAGUGCUGGGCCAAUCAAUCAAGUGUUAAUGAUGGAUCAUGGAACCCAUUUGUUGACAAAUAAAACCUUGUGUGCUC
Long non-coding RNA from Cyanistes caeruleus (blue tit), 529 nucleotides. RefSeq lists it as uncharacterized. The record is from RefSeq and is a predicted model, not a curated record. Lineage: Eukaryota; Metazoa; Chordata; Aves; Passeriformes; Paridae.